AUGUUACUGAGAUGCUGGCAGGACCAGACAAGCGGUAGUUAAUGAUGGUUUUGGAAUUGAAACAAGAUGGGAUGCAGACCACCUCAAAUUUACUCUGAGCUACUGGGCAGCUGGGUGCGGAUUCAGGCUGAGAUGGCAUUGAGAUGAUUGAUUUGAGGACCGACUAUAGGGGCAACCUUGGGAACUUCUCGUUGUCGUUCGGUGGCAGAGUUAUCAAAUCCAGGCUUAUUACGGUUUCACCAUGGCAGCUAUGCGUACAAGAAUGGCGGAAGAAGAUCUUGGCAAGUUAAUCUUUUUCGUAAUUGAUGUUCGGAUUCAUGCACUGGCUCCAUGGCUCCAUUCCUCCAGUUGCCAGGGCAUGGGCCAUAAUGAAUUUGUACAAAUGGCGUCAGAACUUUGCAGAGAUGAGAUUAACAUUAUUUGUCGCUCGCACUUGUGGAGUGGUUAUGAUAUUGAGGGGGUUGCCAGUACAAAAGAUGCAUCAGGGCUGCAACGAUCGUUUAUUGUGGUGGUAAUGCCCACAUCGCAGGAGGGGGGGGUUGUUGAGGGGGAAAGAAGAGGGAGGCGGCUUUGAAUCAAUUCUAUGUGCAAUUUUUUUGUCGUAUGUCCAUGAGAUCUUGACAACUACGUCAGACGAGAGAGAAUAUAGUCCUUGCUAGGCGAGAGAUGGUGAGAGAGCGAGGAAAGAAUGAAGAAAUCCUAAUAUAUUGUUUAUAGGUUACGGAUGUAGGGUCCGACAAACAUUAGAUUAGAAAAGAGUUAUCACGACGGAUAAACAAACUUCUGCUUCGAACCCGGAACCAGGACUGAUGGACAAAGUUUGGAGACAUUAAGCCGCCUGAGGAAACACCACCAUCAGCAGACGAAUUAGUCCAAGCCCUGUGUUUCCGAGCACGUGGAACUCAAUACAGAUAAACAACCGAAAAUUAUGACGAAUACAUGCGCCUUGGACCCUGAAUCAAGCACCGCUACAAAGAGACAAAAAAAUUUCCCGGAAUCAAGCACCAUUAGUGUUGGUCCGCUAUAUUAUACAUCCUACCGCACCCAAGCUGAUGCUCUCUUUCGCAAAAACCUCACCUACCAGAAAAGGAACUGGAAGACCAAUAGCUGCAUGGUUUGCUUCCCACUUACCCUUUGCGUGCUUCUUGUCGUUAUCCAAGUAGUCGUGAACUACCUGCUUGGCAGUGAUUUCCAGUGUGGGUGUAAAUGCGUGCCGAACACUGGUAGACCUGGGUGCACCAAGCAUUGCGGGGUUGAGUAUUCAAACCAAGAUCAAGUCGAGUUCUGUGAGGUAUCGUUUCCGCAAGGCUGGCCUGCCAUUUUGCAGGUGCCUCGGCCAGAGUAUCGGGCCGUCAGAAAUGCUGGUUCACCCGAGCUGCAAGACGCGACAUGCAGGAACGAUGGAAACUGCGAAUGUACCAUCCUUUACACAGGAUCCAACAAAACCCUGGCUGAUACCAUGGCAAGUUACUUGUUGAGCGACGGGCUUUUGAAUAGCAGUGAUCCCCUUUACUCACUGGCGUCAGUGGUUACGGGUACAGAUGCUCAUCCAUGGGAUACUCUUUUACUUGAGUCGGCAUUUGUAAAGCAAACGCCUAUCCAGCUUCUUCAAAAUACUUGUUAUGUUCCGGCUUUCAACUUGUCGAUUCCAAAUGCGGCUGGUGUUUCUGUAAAUAAAGAAUUUGAGUGUGUACCGACUACGGCGCUAUACUUGGGUAGUGCUAUCUCUAUUAAUGAUGAACUUUAUCGAGGCUUUCGAAAAGGCAAUCCUGCUAUGCAGAUAAAUGAAUUUCCAGUAGCUUAUGACUUCGGGGGUACAAGUGCGUCUCGUUUCGAUGUGAAAAUUUGGUUUAAUGGGACUUACAGCAACAAGACUUCCCAUGACCCUCCGAAUCUCAUUCGAGUUUCUCGGUCUCUCAACAUGGCUUCACAAGCUUUCUUGCGAUUUUUAAUGGGUCCAGCAGCACAAAUACCAUUGCUCUUUGUGAAGGAGAUGCCGAAACCCUCCAUGCAACUCCGACUUGAUUUUUCAUCGUUGCUUGGUCCACAUUUCUAUAUGUGGGUUCUGGGCUUUCUGUACCCAGUGGUUUUGACGGCGCUAGUAUACGAGAAGCAGUACCACCUCCGAAUGAUGAUGAAAAUGCACGGUCUUGGCGAUUUGUCGUAUUGGACGAUUACGUAUAUCUAUUUUUUAGUGCUCUUUAUGAUCUAUAUGUUCUGCUUCAUCAUGUUUGGCUCUGCUGUUGGGCUUAACUUUUUCCUGAAGAAUGAUUACGGCAUUCAAUUCGUCUUCGCGUUUCUCUACGUUAACAUGAUUAUCGCAUUUGGCUUUCUUUCAUCAAAUUUUUUUUGGGACGUCAAAACUGCCACAGGAGGUCUCGUCCUUGCAUUGGAGAUAAUACCAGCGUUUGCAACCUAUCGGGGCCUUUUUGAAUUUUCACAGUAUUCUUUCUCGGCUGUGUACGCGAACACGGACGGCAUGGGAUGGGACAACCUGACGGACUCAAAGAACGGUUUGAGCGACGUAGUAAUCAUUUUAUUCAUGGAGUGGUUUAUUUUCAUGCUUUUGACCGUUUACUUGGACCAAGUGGCUGUAUCCGAGAGUGGAAUAAAUAAACACCCCCUCUUCUUUUUAAGUUACUUCUUCAAGCGCAAGAUGGAAGGGAGUGCCCCUUUUUGCGAAGAAUCUAAGGCAAUGGCACACAUCAAUCCUGAAGAUGAUGAGCUUCCCGGUGAUCGUCCUGACGUUGCUCGUGAGAAAAAGUUGGUUCAGGAGUUGCGUUCUAGACCAGACAAGCUUUAUUCCAUCAUUUGCGACAAUCUUAAGCGAGUUUACCCCUCAACAGACGGGAAUCCACCCAAAUACGCUGUCCGGACAUUCUCACUGGCAGUGGCUCGAGGUGAAUGCGUUGGAAUGCUUGGACCUAAUGGGGCAGGAAAAACCAGUAGUAUCAACAUGAUGAUAGGUUUUUUGAAGCCAACGGCGGGCACAGCAUAUAUCCAAGGAAUGAAUAUUCUGACUGAAAUGGAUAGCAUCUAUUCUUGUAUGGGAGUUUGUCCUCAGCACGAUUUGUUGUGGGGACAGCUGACCGCCCAUGAGCAUCUCCUUUUCUACGGCCGCUUAAAAAACCUGAAGGGGGCAGAGCUCAAUUCUGCGGUGGAGAGAUCUUUAAAAAGCGUGAACCUUUUUGACAACAAAAUUGGAGACAAACAAUGUAGAAAAUACUCAGGUGGCAUGAAGCGCCGGCUGAGUGUUGCAAUUUCUCUUAUUGGAAAUCCACAAGUAAAAUUAUUUUUCUUCCUCUGUCCCUACCAUAAUCGAGCACGAUGGGUUUACCACGGUGGUAUAUAUGGACGAGCCAAGCACAGGACUUGACCCAGCGUCUCGGUACAACCUGUGGAGUGUGAUAAGGGAGUCUAAGCAAGACCGUGCCAUCAUCCUCACCACUCAUUCUAUGGAAGAAGCAGAAGCAUUGUGUGAUAGAGUAGGCAUUUUUGUGAACGGAGAGCUCCAAUGCAUUGGCAACGCGAAAGAGCUUCGACACAGAUUUGGAGGCCUGUACGUGCUAACGAUCACAACACCGGUGAACGAAGAAGCAGAAGUAAUUGGCUUGGUCAAGAAAUUAUCGAAGGAUACUAGAAAAGUGUAUGAUCUCGGAGGCACACAAAAGUUUGAGUUACCAAAGGCUGAAGUUAGCGUGGCGGACGUGUUCAUGACCGUGGAGCAAGCUAAGCAACGGUUGCACAUUCAAGCCUGGGGCCUCAGUGAUACCACUUUGGAAGAUGUUUUUAUCAAAGUCUCAAAAGCAGGUGGUGUGGUUGCUCUCACGUAGCACAACCCGAUCAUCGCAACUUGUGUUUCUUACUUGCAACUAAACGGUUCACCAUGUUCGCUCAAAAGACUAGUCUUUAAUAACUUGACCAUAGAAGUACUCAGAAGACUCUGCUUUUGUAGUGGGUGACUGCUAUGCAAGGGUUCAUAAGUGGUUGCAAUCAAAGUUAAGUACAUUGUGUAGUCGAAAGUUUUUUCAUUGCAAACAUUAUGAUGAGAUCUGGAUGCAAUUGAGUAGGACGCCGAAUAUUAAACAUGCAACUUGGGUCAUGGAGUGGUCACUCUUUUCGUGAACCUGGUCGUUGGUGUAACAACACUUUGCCUAUCUGGUGGGCGAAGGAGCCACAAAGUUUCAACUGUUCAGACCCUAGGCAAUUCUAAAAUUGGGCAAAAUGAUGAAGCUUGCAUUAAAAGCUAAUCAAGUGUUAUACGAGACGGUAUCCAUCAGAAUGAAUUAAAUAAUUUUUUGAGUUUA
Non-coding RNA from Physcomitrium patens, 4307 nucleotides. The record is from RefSeq and is a predicted model, not a curated record. Lineage: Eukaryota; Viridiplantae; Streptophyta; Bryopsida; Funariales; Funariaceae.